GCAAGUCGAACGGACCGUACACGCAGCUUGCUGCGUGUAUGGUUAGUGGCAGACGGGUGAGUAAUGCAUAGGAAUCUGCCUAGUAGUAUAGGAUAGCCACUAGAAAUGGUGGGUAAUACUGUAUAAUCCCUGCGGGGGAAAGAUUUAUCGCUACAUGAUGAGCCUAUGUUAGAUUAGCUAGUUGGUGGGGUAAUGGCCUACCAAGGCAGUGAUCUAUAGCUGGUCUGAGAGGAUGAUCAGCCACACUGGAACUGAGACACGGUCCAGACUCCUACGGGAGGCAGCAGUGGGGAAUAUUGGACAAUGGGCGCAAGCCUGAUCCAGCUAUGCCGCGUGAGUGAGGAAGGCCUUAGGGUUGUAAAACUCUUUCAGUAGGGAAGAUAAUGACGGUACCUACAGAAAAAGUCCCGGCAAACUC
Molecule: ribosomal RNA, 418 nt
Filed under: Anaplasma phagocytophilum
Lineage: Bacteria; Pseudomonadati; Pseudomonadota; Alphaproteobacteria; Rickettsiales; Anaplasmataceae
Description: bacterial SSU rRNA
Rfam family: Bacterial small subunit ribosomal RNA
Source: RNAcentral